Molecule: ribosomal RNA, 254 nt
Filed under: uncultured bacterium
Lineage: Bacteria
Description: partial 16S ribosomal RNA
Rfam family: Bacterial small subunit ribosomal RNA
Source: RNAcentral
UACGGGGGGAGCAAGCGUUGUUCGGAUUUACUGGGCGUAAAGGGCGCGUAGGCGGCCACCGCAAGUCGACUGUGAAAUCUCCGGGCUUAACCCGGAAAGGUCAGCCGAUACUGCGGGGCUAGAGUGCAGAAGGGGCAACUGGAAUUCUCGGUGUAGCGGUGAAAUGCGUAGAUAUCAGGAGGAACACCGGUGGUGUAGACGGCUCUCUGGACCGUAACUGACGCUGAGACACGAAAGCGUGGGUAGCAAACAGG